GCCUCCGUAGCUCAGUGGUAGAGCACCGCUCUUGUAAAGCGAAGGUCGUCAGUUCAAUCCUGACCGGGGGCUCCA
RNAcentral lists this transfer RNA (75 nucleotides) under Mycobacterium sp. MS1601. RNAcentral describes it as "tRNA-Thr". It matches the Rfam family "tRNA". From Rfam's summary of the family: Transfer RNA (tRNA) molecules are approximately 80 nucleotides in length. Their secondary structure includes four short double-helical elements and three loops (D, anti-codon, and T loops). RNAcentral also lists the same sequence under 2 other names. The record is from RNAcentral. Lineage: Bacteria; Bacillati; Actinomycetota; Actinomycetes; Mycobacteriales; Mycobacteriaceae.